GUUUUUAUAUGCAUUUAAUAUUUUUAAGAAUAGUUCAAAAGCUGUCAAAAUAAAAUGGUGAAUUGAGUUUAAACCAGAAAAGAUAUAAACGUAAUCUUUGGGAUUCAACUUGUAAGGAUGUUCCAAGAACCACUUAGUUGGAGAAGGAAAACUGUGCCGUUCAUUAACAAGUCCUGUGCUUUAUAAUAUAUUAAAAAAUGGAAGGACGUGAAGAAAACAGGUUUGUAAAUGAUGUUGUACAUCAUGCAGAUAGCUCAGAAGAAGAAGUAAGUUUUUUUUUUAAUUACAAAAGUAAAUAUAUAAUAUAAUAUUUGUUGCUGCCUUGUUCUAUAUAAAUGUUUCUAACAUGCAGGUAACAUUUAUAUAUGUAUUAGUUUGAAUAAAUCAUUUUAAUAAAGUUACAUUAUAGGCAGGAAUGUUUGACUGGAAAUAUAAACGAUGUUGUACAUAAUGCAGAUAGCUUAGGCAAAAAAGAGAUUGGUGAAAUGGAGAAUGAGACUAACUAGGGUGAAAAAAAAUGAAUAUUAAUAUGUGAAUGGUACUUUGUUUAACAUCUACCUGUUUCUACAGAUACAGUACAGACGCAUUUAUAAAUGGGCUUGAUGUUUUUUUGAAUUAAAUAUGUUGUAUUGA
Non-coding RNA from Hydra vulgaris (swiftwater hydra), 633 nucleotides. The record is from RefSeq and is a predicted model, not a curated record. Lineage: Eukaryota; Metazoa; Cnidaria; Hydrozoa; Anthoathecata; Hydridae.